UACGUAGGGUGCAAGCGUUAAUCGGAAUUACUGGGCGUAAAGCGUGCGCAGGCGGUUAUGCAAGUCAGAUGUGAAAUCCCCGGGCUUAACCUGGGAACUGCAUUUGUGACUGCAUAGCUGGAGUGCGGCAGAGGGGGAUGGAAUUCCGCGUGUAGCAGUGAAAUGCGUAGAUAUGCGGAGGAACACCGAUGGCGAAGGCAAUCCCCUGGGCCUGCACUGACGCUCAUGCACGAAAGCGUGGGGAGCAAACAGG
Molecule: ribosomal RNA, 253 nt
Filed under: uncultured bacterium
Lineage: Bacteria
Description: partial 16S ribosomal RNA
Rfam family: Bacterial small subunit ribosomal RNA
Source: RNAcentral